Molecule: ribosomal RNA, 465 nt
Filed under: uncultured bacterium
Lineage: Bacteria
Description: partial 16S ribosomal RNA
Rfam family: Bacterial small subunit ribosomal RNA
Source: RNAcentral
GAUGAACGCUGGCGGCGUGCUUAACACAUGCAAGUCGAACGGAAAGGCCCCUGUUUGCAGGUAUACUCGAGUGGCGAACGGGUGAGUAACACGUGUGAGAUCUGCCCUGCACUUCGGUAUCAGCAUGGGAAACUGGGUCUAAUACCGGAUAGGACGCUGGUUUGGAUGCCAUUGUGGAAAGUUUUUCGGUGUGGGAUGAGACCGCGGCCUUUCAGCUUGUUGGUGGGGUAAUGGCCUACCAAGGCGUCGACGGGUAGCCGGCCCGAGAGGGGGUACGGCCACAUGGGGACUGAGAUACGGCCCAGACUCCUACGGGGGGCAGCAGUGGGGAAUAUUGCACAAUGGGCGCAAGCCUGAUGCAGCGACGCCGCGUGGGGGAUGACGGCCUUCGGGUUGUAAACGCCUUUCGCUAUGGACGAAGCGCAAGUGACGGUACCUGGAAAAGAAGCACCGGCUAACUACGUG